ACCUUACCUGCCCUUGACAUCCGGAUGACCGGUGGGUAAUGCCGCCCUCUCUUUUUGAGCAUCCGAGACAGGUGGUGCAUGGUUGUCGUCAGCUCGUGUCGUGAGAUGUUGGGUUAAGUCCCGCAACGAGCGCAACCCUUAUCUUUAGUAGCCAGCAUUAAAGGUGGGCACUCUAGAGAGACUGCCAGGGAUAACUUGGAGGAAGGUGGGGAUGACGUCAAAUCAUCAUGCCCCUUAUGGGCAGGGCUACACACGUGCUACAAUGGCGUAAACAAAGGGAAGCGAGACUGCGAAGUUAAGCAAAUCCCAAAAAUAACGUCUCAGUUCGGACUGCAGUCUGCAACUCGACUGCACGAAGCUGGAAUCGCUAGUAAUCGCGAAUCAGAAUGUCGCGGUGAAUACGUUCCCGGGUCUUGUACACAC
This 423-nucleotide ribosomal RNA is filed under the name uncultured bacterium. RNAcentral's name for it is "bacterial SSU rRNA". It matches the Rfam family "Bacterial small subunit ribosomal RNA", at positions 968 to 1390 of the family's 1533-position model. The record is from RNAcentral.